Molecule: long non-coding RNA, 27166 nt
Filed under: Daucus carota (carrot)
Lineage: Eukaryota; Viridiplantae; Streptophyta; Magnoliopsida; Apiales; Apiaceae
Description: long non-coding RNA (DCAR_LNC003942)
Source: RNAcentral
CCAAAUUGACUUAUAGAAUGGGGUGAAAUCAUACUGAUAGUACUCGCCCAAUAUUGGCUUAAAUGCUUUGGUGGCUUCUACCGCAUGGUAAUGUGGCAUUUUCGGGAAGAGAUGGUGCGCUACAUGAGUAUUCGGCUGCUGAUGAAACACCGUGUUGAGAAAUCCGAAAUCUCUAUCGAUGGUAGCCAUGGAUCCCUUUAGCCAUUCCCACUCGGAGUGAUCAUAGUAAGUUACGAGAGGGUUCGUGUGUUGAAGUACGGCCACUAUGAUAAGCAUAGCAUUUGUGAAUAGGUAUGGACCUCCGUAGAUGAAAGCGACCCAUGCGAACCCUUUUAGCAAAGCAAGUUUGUACAGUGCAAAGAUGACGGCCAAACACCCAGCAUCGGAAAGCAGGACAUGAGCGCGUUGCUUGUAUGAAAACAUUGGACUAUACGGAUCAAAAUGGGAGGCGAAUCGAUCGUAAAUUCGACCACGGAAGUUGACAAGAAGGUAUAGAGGCACGGCAACAACUAGAACAGCACCAACAACAAAGAAUUUCGCCACAGGGUUUUUGAGGUAUCUGAACAUCAAGGGAACUUGGGACUUGAGCAGUGGGAUAUCAAAUUCCUCUUCUUCUAGGGAUCCAGUUCUCGAGUGAUGGCGAUGGUGGCUGUACUUAAAUGAAAAGUAAGGAAACAGAACGACAGAGUGGGUGAUGAAUCCGACUGUGUCGUCGAGCCAUUGGUACUCACUGAAAGCGUUGUGUCCGCAUUCGUGACCUAUGACCCAAAAUCGGGCUAGUAUACAGCCUUGAAGCAAUGAAUAUAUGAUCCCAGAAGUAACAAGAUAGAGUUUAGAAGACUGAAUCAAUUCAGAGGUUAAGAUAUAGUUUGCGGCGAUGUGGUAAAGAGAGAAUAAGAUGACGACAUCUAAGACAAGGUAUGACAAAGAGCGAAUCGCCGAACGCUCAAAACAGUGAGGCGGAACUGCUUUCUUAACAUCACUUAAAGUGAAUGGAGGUUUAACGUAAGGAGAUCUUGAUGUUCUUUUGAUGGCAGUGUUCAACUUUUGCUCCAUGUUUCUGCAAGGAUUCAGAAUUAAUUAGCUUCUAAACACUUGAAAAUUAAAUACAGUUAACAUACAAUUUAGAGAUACAAGAAUAGUUUACCUUGCUCCAGUGCCUUGACUUGCGAAUCUUAAUUGUUGUGGCAAUUGUGUACAAAAUGGCUGGUAUAUAUAGGCACUUCGCACUUUCAAAUCCCCAGCCGGUCAAAGCCCCCUUUAUCCUAGUUGAAAUAUUAGGAGUGCCAUGUUCUAGAUGUCCUCGUAAGAAUAAAAAACAAUAAUCAAUACAUAAAAUUAUUUUCUCUAAUAUUUAACUUCCAAAUGGCAUUUCUUUAUGCAAGUAAAAUGUGUCCUAUUAUGAGGUGGCCAAUCAUAUUUUAGUCCUUGGUUUUCUACUGUUGAAACUUGAAAGUAUACAUACACAGGCGGCUUUUCACUCACGUAAGAGAGUAGGAGAACCUACUUACAACUAUACAAGCGAAACGUAAUUUUAAUUUAUGUGUUUAUAUAUUUUUCGAAAAGUAAUAAUUUAUAUUGUAUAAAUAUUUUAAUAAUAUAAUAAUAAAUUGAUUGUGUACGUAAUUGUAAAGUUUAAUUUUCAAAAAUGAAAAAGAAACGGAAAAAAAUUAAAAUUUGUAAUUUUUAAGAUUCUGACUUAUAAAUCAAAAUAUAAUUUAUAAUUUUUUUAUUGCACAAAUACUACGUACGAAUGAGCUUAAUACAGAAACUCGAGAAAUAAUCAAUACCCAAGUAUACAUGUAAAACAUACAUGUAGUAUCAUUUACAUGUGAUUGAUAUAAAAUAGGCUCAAUUAUAUCCUAUAAGAAACAAGGUUAAGAUUUAUUUUAUUUAAAAACAACAGACGCCUCUAUGAUUAACGGAAUAUUUGAGGGACUCGUUUCCUCGAAGGCAAGAUAGAAUUAAAUAUUCAAGCCAUCACUUAUAUGCCGAAUACCCACAGCAUAUGUGUGGAACAACGGACCGAGACAGAUGUGCAUCACGUUUUAUAUGGUUAAAUUAUCUGCACGCAUAUAAAUUAUCUUAAAUUAAGUGUAGCAUGUGUUGUUUUAGACUUAAAAGAACAACAAAUCACAAGGAUCACGGUAUACGAACUACACUAAAUGUAAAAUACUUGUCAUCUAUUUUAAGCCUAGCUAAUAGACCCUAUCUUUCGACUGGUCUCACGUAAUCCUAUGAUAGUCAUAACUGGCAACGGUAAUUUAAUGAUAUUGGAAUACAGAUUAGAUAGAAAAAUAAUAUAUAUAUAUAUAUAUAUAUAUAUAUAUAUAGGAGGAAGAUCCUAAGAAAACCUAGCUUAUCAGAAAACCCAGCUUAUCAAGAAAACCGAGAAACCCACUUAAUCACCGUUGAUUUUAUAAUCAUAAUAUAUAUUUUAAUUUAUCAAAAGAUCAAUCAAAUCUAAUUCAUAAGGGAUAUUAUGGUAAUAUUCUACAUAUAUUUAAUGCAUUCAAUCAGUAAUAUAUUUAAUGCAUUUAAUCAGUACAUUCAAUAAAGAUUUGCAAUUAAUUGAUUUCCUUUUUUAUAUUAUUCAUAUCUCAAUCAAUCAAUCAGUAUUAAAUUUGAAUUUCAAAUUUCAAAAGAUUCACCUUGCUAAAAACUGAUCGAAUAUCUUAGAGAAUCUUGUUUAUAUAUUUUGCGUUAUCUUGUGUAUGAUAAUAAAUCUCUUACCAUUGUUAUAACGGAUCAUCUAAUAAUUUUUUUUAUUACGGUCUUUUAAGUGUUUUACUAAUAAAUAUAAUAUUUUCCUAAGAUUCUCUUAAGUGCUCUAUUAAUUUAAAAUAAUUUUUUUCCCAGGAUUCUUUCAAGUGUUUUACUCAGUUAAAUAUAUUUACGAUUUUCUAAGAUUCUUUUAAGUGUUUUACUAAUUUAAAUUGAAUAUUUAAAAUAAUUUUUUUCUAAGAUUCUUUCAAGUGUUUUACUCAUUUAAAUCUAUUUAAGAUUUUUCUGAGAUUCUUUUAAGUGUUUUACUAAUUUAAAUUGAAUAUUUUUUUAAGAUUUUCAUAAGUUUUUUACUAAUUUAAAAAUAUUUAAGAUUUUUCAAGAUUCUCUUAAGUGUUUUAUUGAUUUAAAAUUAUUUAAGAUUUUCUAUGAUUCUCUUAAGUGCUCUAAUAAUUUAAAAUAAAUUUUUUUCUAAGAUUUUCUAAGAUUCUUUUAAGUGCUCUAAUUGGAAUCUUGAAAUGUUAUAAUAUUAAUAUUACAUAUUAAUUAAAAAUUGCAUACAAUGACUUAAGUUCUUUAAUUAUCUUUUUCUUUAAAUAUAAAAUUUAAAUAUUGAAACAAUACUUUAGAGAACCCUCAUUUGAAAAAUAUUUGAACGGGUAUCGUAAAGAAUCUAGUAGGUGUAUAAGUGAACAUCUACUAGAAUCUCAACAUACUGUUAUGAGAUUGAUGAUGUAAGUAAAAUUAUAACUAAAUUGGAAGUUGUUAUGUGUUCGGUUUGUUGAUGAUAUAUGAUUUAUUAUGUGCACUUUUUAAAUAAAUCAUAAUUUAAAUUAACACAUUUUAUUUAAUUAAGUGAUAAGUAUUAAGAUUCUAAUAAUUAAUAUUAAAAAUUUAUAAAAAAAUUGUAUACAAUGACUUAAGUUCUUUAAUUAUUUUUUACUUUUAAUAUAAAAUUUAAAUAUUGAAAAAACAUUUUGAAGAACCUUCAUUUGAAAAAUAUUUGAACGGGUAUUGUAAGAAAUCUCUUCAUUUACUAUAUAUUAUAAUAGUUGUUUUAAUUCAACUUUGUAAAUAAAUUUUUUAAAAAUUCUACCUUAUAUUAUUCUAUUAUAUUUGAGCGAAUAUUUUAAAGUAAUAUAAAUUUAUUAUAAUAUCAGUUUAAAGAUUCUACUAUAUAUUAUUCUACAAAUUUGAGUGAAUGUUUAUUGGACUCUCAUGAUAUUAUAAUAUGUCAAUUCAAUUAAGUGUUCAAGUGUAUUUUAAUAUUUGUUAUUUUGUUAUACAAGCGAACAUUUUAAAGAAUCUCCAUAUCAAAAAAUGGUAUCUUUAAUAAAAUCAUAAUCUAAUUAUACUUUCUAAUAUAUCAUAAAACUAAUUAGUAAUUAAAUGUUAAUUUAAUCGUUGAGCAAAAAAUUUGAUAAUGAAAUAUUUUAGAGUGAUGUAUAGAUGAACAUCUACUAGAAUCUCAAUAUUCAAUUCAACAUACUAUAAUGAGAUUGAUUUAAGUAAAAUUAUAACUACACUUGAAGUUAUUAGGUGUUCGUUUGUCGAUCAUAUAUGAUUUUAUUAUGUGUUCUUUUUAAACUAUUCAAUCAACUAAAUUUCAAAAAAUUUAAUUUUAAACACCUAACAUAAUCGUAAGAAAUGUAUUAUUAGAAACAUAUUUUUUAUAAUCAAGUAGAAUGAAUUUAAAAAAAAAAACAUAACGUUAAUGGUAUAGCGGCACCUUGUAUAUAUGAAUUUUAUCAGAAAAAAAGAAUGUGCAAAGAGAGAACUUCUUUCAAAAAAUCACAAAGAACACACUCAAAUAAGGAACAUCUACUACAAACUAACAAAGAAUACAAAUAUAAAUUCUCCAUUAUUGGAGAAAAUAAAAAAAAUCUAAACAAAACUAGACAAAUAAAACAAAUCAGCCCCCCGCCUCUACCAAACAAAACUUACCAACAAAUAAAGGAAUUCUUAGAAUAUGUACUGGAACCUUGUGUUGUUCUGUAAAACAACUCUGAUUAGAAUACUGAACAUAAUAUUGAUUAGAAUUCUUACAAAGAUCUAAACUGAAUGCAUUAGUAAUGAACACCAACUGAAGCAUGUGCGAAAUACAACUAUACACACAAUAUCAACUUCAACAAUCAACUAUACUAUAAUGAAUCUCUUAUAGAACACUAACCAAACAAGGAGAAUCUUCAAACUUAAGAAUAUGACAGAAUCUUCAAAUUGAGAUAAGGUGUUCUGGAUCCCUGAUUAGAAUAUUGGUGAGGACAAUAAGAAAGUUCAAUCUAAAUUUCAAGCCAACAUCCGUAUACUCUCUAUUGUAAGAAUUCUCAAACAUUAACUCCCCGUUCGGCAAACCAAGUACAUUCUAGACAUCAUCUUCUUAAAAGUUUAUAAUAUUCUCACCAAUUGAAAUUGUUGAAUCGAUUGGUUUGUACGACUUUGGAAUCGAAAAACUCAGAAGUUGAGGGUAUUCCAUGAUGUUGAAAAGUAGAAGCUUUUCGAAUCCGAUUUCCACAACCCAUUGUCUUUUGUGCAUCGGAAAGAUUCCCCACGAUUCUCUUUUAAGAAAAUAGGUUUUACUCGUACCAACAAAUGACCGGUGUUCUUAUGGAGAUUCUUCUCCGCCAUUAUAUCUCUGAAAAGGAUUAUAUGGUUCUAGAGAUUAUACAAAAGUCAUAACAGAUAAAUUUUAUGAAAAAGUUUUAAGAUCCAUGAGGAGGAUACGUGGUACAAACCUUCAAACGAUGAAUCAUGGUGUUUUCAACCACGGCGGUCUCUUUCUUACAAUUGCAGAGAUUCUUAUUAGAGGAUAAUAUAUGUAUGUAAUGAUUCUAGAUUAUUUGUGUGCUUUGAUUGGAUUUUAUUAGAUGCCAAAAAUAGAAGAUUUUUAAUUAAUCAAUGACAGAUUCUUUACAAUUUUGCCCCCGUGUGUGUUAGAUUAUAGAUAUAUUUGAUUGAUUUUAAUUUUAGAAAUAGUUAUAUAUGAGAAAAAUAAUCAACGGUAUCUAAGAGGGUUCCUCGGUUUUCUUGAUAAGAGAGUUUUCUCUGGAACCUCACUCGAUAUAUAUAUAUAUACUUGUAUAUAUAUAUUGGCGCAAGAUGACUAUUCAAGUAACCAUGGUUAGUUUAUGAAAGCCUAUAAAUAUGUGAUUGUGGUUCUCACAAUUAACAUCAUCCUUCGGGAUGGAUGAGGGUCAGGUUCCAGACAGAACCGCUUAAACUUAGAACCUUAGAACCACAUUAAUAGUCAUUAAAUGAAAGUAAUUUUAAUGUAUGAAAUUAAACAUAUGAAUUGUUUUAAUAUGGUACAUAUUUAAAUAUACAUGCCUUCAAUUAAUGCACAUUCUUAAUUUAUAUUUGAUCAUUUUGCAAUAAAAAUACAUUCAAUAUUUAAUUCACAUAUCUCAGUAAAAUACAAAGAGUUCGAAUGUGUAUGUUUUGAUAUCUUAUUAUUAUUUAUAUGUACUGCUACAGAAUUUUGUAUUUUGUAAUAUUAUAUGAGCUAGAUAUGUACUGUACCAGAAUAUCGUGUUGUAUAAUAUUAUAUAAGCUAGAUAUGUACUGCAGCAGAAUCUUGUGUUUUGUAAUAUAUUUUAGUUAGAUAUGUACUACAACAUAAUCUUGUUUUUUGUAAUAUUACAUGUACUGCAGCAGAAUCUUGUGUUUUGUAAUAUAUUUUAGUUAGAUAUGUACUGCAACAACAUCUCAUUUUUGUAAUAUUACAUGUAUUGCAACAGAAUCUCGUGUUUUACAAUAUUAUAUUAUUAAAAUUGAUUGAGAAUCACAAGUUGUAGAUUUGAUUUGCAUUUAUAACAAAGUGCAUAUAUAUUAACUGAUUAUUAUAAUGAGUAGGUAGCAUUUAAUGAUUAUUAUGAUUUGUAAUAAUGAUUUACAUAUAAGAUAAGGUAUAUUAAAUAGUAUUAAGUUGUAAUUAAUAUAAUAUAGCUAGGCACAUCAUGACCAUUGAAUUCAUAUUGAUCUAAUGGAUGUGUGUGGUCCUAAGUUCUAAUUUUAAUAUUGGUUCUAAUUUGAACCUCACCCUUUAAAUUCUAUAUUUAUAUAUAACAAACAUUUAAUAACAUAUAACAUAUAUAUAUAUAUAUAUAUAUAUAUAUAUAUAAUAUUAGAAGUCCACUUACUUAAGAAUUAUAAUUUUCGCUCUAUUAUUAGUAUUUGGUUUAGCUUAGUCUUUUGAAAUGAACAGUUCAUUCUUUUAAAAAUGAUAUAGCACUCAUGAAUUAGCUGAAAUAUUAUAUACUUGUUGGGCCGCGCAACACCCGUCAACUCCGCAUUAGUAUGAUAUUGUCCGCUCUGGGCCGUGGCCAAGCCCGCACGGAUUUGCUUUCGGGCUCCUCCCAAAAGGUCUCAUACUAAUGGAGUUCUUUGGCUGCUUAUAUUCAAGAUAAAUCUUCUUUAUCUUUCCGAUGUGGGACUUGGGUUGAACCCACUCAACAAUCUCCCCUCAAUCCAAGAACCACCAAUCUUGUGACCCUUAUACCGCCGCUCCUCAUCGGUUCCUCAUCUUGCGGGACACGCCGUCCGACCACCUUUGUCGGAAAGACUUUCGACACAAGCCGUCCAAGACCUCCAAUCGCAGUUCUGGAGAGCCUCCCCCACAUGACACAACUACAGCCCGCAACCCCGGGAUCAACUUAUGAACCUCGCUCUGAUACCACUUGUUGGGCCGCGCAACACCCAUUAACUCCGCAUUAGUAUGAUAUUGUCCGCUUUGGGCUGUGGCCAAACCCGCACGGAUUUGCUUUCGGGCUCCUCCCAAAAAGCCUCAUACUAAUGGAGUUCUUUGGCUGCUUAUAUUCAAGAUAAAUCUUCUAUAUCUUUCCGAUGUGGCACUUGGGUUGAACCCACUCAACAAUAAUUCUCUUUCGCAUUAAUUUUCAAUCUCGUAUCCUUUUACUUCAUUGUCGUUUUUCAUUUCAACUGGUGAUCUCAAAUAUAUGUGAUUCAGAAAUAAAUAAUAGUCAGUAUAUAGUAUUGCUUUUCCUAAACCGUUCUAAAUACUUGCACAUUUUUUCAACAUUAUAAUCAUUAUUUUUUAUCAUGCUUGCUUUGCUUUCUAGAAUGUCGAAUGUAAGGUAACGUGACAGUCUAGUACUAUCGAAUGUCACGAACAACAAUCGAGAGCGCAAGGACUUGACGAUAUGACCAAUAUUAUAAGAUGUCCGCCACGUUCAGUUGCUUGACGAGAACUGAAUAUAUAUUUUAAAUAAAUCCGUUUUUCUUUGUUUAUGACUGAAUUAUUGCAGUAUUCUUUUAGACGACAGAGGCCCAUAAACUUGACUUGGACCGUUCAAAUUAACUAUAAGAUUCAAGAGAUAUUCUUGAUAUACUCCCUCUGUCCCUCUCAUUUCUUUACGGUUAUUUUGGGAUGUCCCUCUCAUUUCUUUACGUUAUUAUAAAUAAUAAGUUUUUCUCAUCAUUACACCCACUAUCUUCCUCUACUAUCUCAUAUUUAACAAUAAAAACUACUAUUACACCCACUACUUUCCUCCAUUAUCUCAAAUCUAUUAUUAAAUAUUGAUAGGUCCCACCACUUUACCCACUUUUCAUCUAACUUUACUCAUUUUUUAUACAUUGUCUUGGUCUCCGUGUUUUCCUCCAAUGUAAACAAUUGAAGGGGACGGAGGGAGUAUAUAAAUAAUUAUAUACUCUACGAAUUUUGUUUUUUAUAACAUGAUUUAAACAACAUGUUACUAUCGAAUGACAUGAACAACUGUAUAAAAUGCAGGACUUCCAAAAUUGAACGACUUUUUUGUCAAGUCAACAAUUGAAGGGUUAUUUCUAUCAUUAAAUAAUAAAUCCAAAAGAUUAUGUGGGUGUUUGGCAAACUCAACUUAUUGCUUAUUUGGAAGAGAAGUUGUUUCAACUUAUUUAUGUAGUGUUUGGCAAACACGUCGAAGUACUUAAAAUGGGGCUUAAAAGCCCCGAAAAAAAAGCUAGGAAACCUAGCUUUUUUUGGGUUUGAAGCUUAUUAUAGCAAAAUAAGUCACGAGUAUCCAAACACUUUUAAUAACUUAAAAGUUCAAACCAACUUUUCACUUAUAAUACACUUCUUUACUUUAAGCAAUAAGUCACUUCUUUUAAGUUUAGCCAAACGGCCCCUAUAACGCAUCCAUUGAAAGUCUGCAUAGUGCAUACACUUUUUUAUCCGUUAAGUAACAAAACUUCACAAUUUAAAUAAUAAAAUAUUAUCUGCUCAAAAUUUAUCGGUCAGCCAUUCAAAGUUAAUUUCACAACCAAGUAACGUAAGUAAUCGUCCUCACUAUUUACAAACACUCAGCUGAGACAUUCCCAGAUCCGGUAAAAUUGUCCUGAUUCGAGAAGCACACAUGAAAUAUAUGAUUUUAAAAAUCGUGUUUAUAAUCGAAUCAAAUAAUUAGAAAAUUUGUGACAAAAUAUAUAUUUUGAAAAUUAAUUAAUUAAUCCUGUCAAUAUGAUUUGAAACAAUAUCUUACCCAACAUGUCUAUAGAAUUGCAGGACAACUUAGAGCAUCUCUAUAUUCAGCUAAAUUUGAUUCAUAGAAUUAAGACAUUCCGUUUUAAUGAUAUAUUGAUUGAGUAUAUUUUAAAAUUAAUAUAUUAUUAAUAUUUUAAAUUAUUAUAAAUAAAAUAUUUCAUUUCAAUAUGGUAAUAAUCGACAUGAAACUUUCAUACUCAUUUCUUACAAAUAUGUAGAUAUUCGACAAAUAUAACCAAUAUUCGAAAGUUGAUUAUAUUUAUCGACAAGAAGAAUGUACAUUGGAGCUGAAUUUUUUUAUACAUAAUCUCUAUAUUUUUUAUUUAUACCAUGUAUUAGUGAUUUUUAAUGAAGGAUUCUACGUGAUUCAAGAUGUUCUUAAGUGGUUGUGCGGUAUUCCUACACACACACAUAACUGAUUUUUUUUUUUUUUUUUUUUUUUUUUUUUUNNNNNNNNNNNNNNNNNNNNNNNNNNNNNNNNNNNNNNNNNNNNNNNNNNNNNNNNNNNNNNNNNNNNNNNNNNGAUUUGUGAUCCAAUUGAAAGCUUUUUGAGUUGGAUGACCCAAGUGAAAAUUACUAUCGAGUUGAGUGACCUAAUUGCCAUUUAACCCGAAAAUAAAACAAGAGAAACAAAAAGAAUAUAAGUCGAUAUAUUUAACAGAUUACAUCAAAAUAUUCCCACAAUCAUGAUAACUCAUGAUUGAGACAAUUAAGCUCUUAAUUAAGGCAUCAUAAUAAAAUAUUAAUAUCCUUAAUUAAGACACAAUUAACGCCCUCAAAUAAGGCCCAAUUAACGCCCUCAAUAAAUAGGCACAAUUUACGCCCUCAAUAAUUGAGGCACAAUUUACGCCCUCAAUAAAGAGGCAUAAUUAACGAGGCACAAUUACCGCCCUCAAUUAAGACACAAUCAACGCACUUUCCUUUCUGAAACCGGAUCCGGAUCCCGUUCUGAAACCGCCGUCACCGCCACCAUCGGCCACCACCACUAUGCUAUCAAUCAAGGUGCCUCGUCGUAUGCGAAGCGAACAACGAAGCGUAUCACAUGUAACAUGAAAAAUCGCCAAAAACACCAAAAACCAAACGAAACACAGGGAUUAAACAAACAAACAAAUACACACAAACAAAUAAGAUUAAAAUCAACACCUUUCGUAAUUCCACUCAAAAUCGGCUAUAUGAAUAUUGAUAUGGAUAAAAAUAGAGAAGCAGAAGGAGAAAUGAAAAGCAGAGAAUGAAUGAAGAAAUUAAAGAACAAACCUUCUGCAUAAAUUGUAUGGUUAAAAUAGAGGAAGAAGCAUGGCGAUUCAUGUCACCAUCUUUUACAGGUAGAGAGAGUCCUUCACGGUGUCCAUUUGUGCUUCCUUCUGCCAUCGCUCUUGUUUCUCUUUGUUAAAUUUAGAUGUAUUCGCCCUUGAUAAGGGUAAAAUGAUCCAAAAGUCUCAGUUGCUCAGAUGAUUAUAUUUUUUCCGGUAGCAGUUGUUAAUUACCAAGUUCACGUAUAUAAGCACACUGAUAUACUAUAGAACAUGUAAAUAUACAUUCUUUUAUGCAUUAAGAGCAGAUCAUGUACGAGAAUUGCUUAGUAGAGAGUUGUUUAAAUUAACACCGACACACAAGGGGAUUCUAUAUUGAUCAUAUGCGUAAUGAUGCUAUUAUUUACAAAUAACCACGAGGUAAGCUCCUUUCUCUCUUCUUAGAAAUUGUUGUCUUUCUUUUUGCGAUGUGAUAUUUCAACCAAAUUACGAACAUUGUUGGGCUAUUGAGCACACAAGGAAAGUAAAGCAUUUUGGAAAAAAUAUGAUACUACUUCCAAAAGCACUUAAACAAGGAAAAAAGAACUUUUUUCACACAUAACUGAUUUGUUUGACAAUUAGAGCAUUUUCAAUUGGGUUAGUUAAAAUUGGUUGGCUAAAUGAGAUAUAUAAGAUAUUGUGUAAAAUUAAAAUUUGUUGAACCCAUAAAACAUUAUACUUCAAUGAUAAUGGCUGUAUUGAUUAGUUAUAUUUUGAAAAUAGUAUAUUAAUAAUAUUUUAGAUUGUUAUAAAUAAAAUAUAUCACUUCAAUUUCGUUAUAAAAUGGAUUUUUGUAAAAAAUUUCUCAUAGUUCUGUAGAGAUUGGACAAAUAUAACCAAUUAUAAAGAGAUUGAUAAUAUUCAUAGAUAAAGAAAAUGUUUGAGUGGUUUCAACCCAAGUCUCACGUCGGAAAGAUAAAGAAGAUUUUUCUUUAAUAUAAUCAGUUAAAGAGCUCUAUUGAGAGGCCUUUUUAAAGGAGCUCGAAAGCAAAUCUGUGCGGGUUUGGCAACGGCUCAGAGGCACAAUAUCAUAUUAAUGCGGAGUUAACAGGUGCAAUAUCAUAUUAAUGCGGAGUUAACAGGUGCUGCGCGACCCAACAAGUGGUAUGCGGGCAAGGUUAAGAAGUUGAGCCUGGAAUUUAUUUUAUUUUUAUGAUUUAUUCGACAAUCGUCAGAUUUGACAUUCAAAUGAUUAGCUCAUCAAAUAUUUAUUUAUUUAUUUAUUAUUAUUAUUAUUAUUAUUCUGAUAAUUUAAAAAUCAUUUAUAUAAUAAAAACAUUCAAACUAAUAAUAUAAAUUAUACAAUUAUCAUAUUAAACAAUUAUAAGACAUAUUUGGUUAUUUUAACUUUAGGCUUUAGCCAAACCUGCUCUAUGACUGACAUCCAUGAAAGAUAUACAUGUAGCAAACAAAAUCACAUCAUCCUCACAUUCAUCUGCUCCGAUCUCCGGAUGAAUUACAUUUUUCUUGAUUUAAGUAUAUAUUAUUCCCUCCACCCCUCAUUUGUUUACAUUGAGGGACGGGAGCUCGGUACGCAUUUUAAUACUCUCUUAAAACGUAGUUAGAUAAAUUAUUUUGAACUUUUUUCCCUUCUCAAUAAAAAUUUGAUGUCUAAAUUUUUAUAAAAAAAAGAAAAAUUUUAAAAAUAAGUUACAAAACUAUAUUUUACCUGCGCCUUAAAAUGCAUGUCGAUCGGUGUGAAAAAACGGUAAAGAGACCGGAUUUAAUUUAUAACAGCAAUCACAGUACAACGUAAGAGAACUGAAACAUGAACAGAAACCAACUUAAAGCAUUACACAGUACCAGACGACACUCAGAUUUGAGCAUUUUUACUCAAAACUUAUUGUUAUACCAAUAUAUUCCUUUGUUCUUCUCAUCUUCCUCAACGUAGACACAAUCUUUCAGAGUAGUCCACAGUGACUUAUAGAAUGGGGUAAAAUCAUACUGAUAGUAGUCUCCCAACACUGGUUUAAAUGCUUUGGUGGCUUCCACUGCAUGGUAGUGUGGCAUCUUCGGGAAGAGAUGGUGCGCUACGUGAGUAUUCGGUUGCUGAUGAAACACCGUGUUGAGAAUUCCGAAAUCUCUGUCAAUGGUGGCCAUGGAUCCCUUUAGCCAUUCCCACUCGGAGUGAUCAUAGUAAGGUACGAGAGGGUUCGUGUGUUGAAGUACUGCAACUAUGAUAAGCAUAGCGUUUGUGAAAAGGUAAGGUCCUCCGUAGAUGAAAGCAGCCCAUGCGAACCCUUUCAACAUAGCAGCUUUGUAUACUGCAUAGAUGACUGCAAAACAUCCAGCAUCCGAAAGUAAGACGAGAGCCCGUUGUCUUGAUGAAAACAUGGGACUGUAUGGGUCAAAAUGGGAGGCAAAUCGGUCAUAAGUUCGACCACGGAAGUUGACAAGCAAGUAUAGAGGCACCGCUACAACCAAAACUAAGGCAAUAACGAAAAGUCUUGCGACAGGAUUACUGAGGUAUUUAAACACGAAUGAAACUUGAGACUUUAGAAGAGGGAUAUCAAACUCUUCUUCUUCUAGGGAUCCAGUUCGCGAGUGGUGGCGAUGGUGACUGAAUUUGAAAGAGAAGUAAGGAAAGAGGACGACAGAGUGGGUGAUGAAUCCGACUGUGUCGUCGAGCCAUUGGUACUCACUGAAAGCGUUGUGUCCGCAUUCGUGACCUAUGACCCAAAAUCGAGCUAGAAUCAGACCUUGAAGCACCGAAUAUAUAAUCCCGGCUGUAACAAGAUAUAAUUUAGAAGACUGAAAGAAUUCAGAAGCUAAGAUAUAGUUUGCGGCGAUGUGGUAAAGAGAAAAUAAGAUGAUGACAUCGAAGACAAGGUAUGACAAAGAGCGAAUCGCCGAACGCUCAAAGCAAUGAGGCGGAACUGCUUUCUUAACAUCGCUUAGAGUGAAGGGAGGUUUCACGUAAGGAGAUCUCGAAGCUCUUUUCACGGGAGGAUUCGAUUUUUGUACCAUGUUUCUCUGCGAAGAUUGAAGAAGAUAGUAAUUAGUUAAAACGUUUACUUGAUUUGAUAACAACUUAAAAAACAGUAAAUUUAUGAGAAUCGCAGAAGAGUACCUUGGCUUGGAUGCACCUCUGAGAAUUUUGUUGUGACAAUUGCAUAGGAAGCAGUAGGUACAUAUAGGCAGAUCAAAAUUACCAACUCCAGUCCUGAUUGGCUGAUUAAAAUAGAGGUCAGGUGUCUAGCUAGGUUGUCAUAUGUGUUCUGGACGCCCCCUCACGAUGUUACAUUCUCUUUUCAUUCUUCUCUUUCCUAGUUUAAUAAUCCUUUUCAAAAUAUGUGCUCCCUUCGUCUUAUUUUAUCUCAUUACAUAUAUAAUAAAAAAAUCUUUUUCGAUGUCCUAAAAAAAACUAUCUUUUAUAUAAUAUUUAUUUAAGAUAUUCGUUAUAAUCACACGUUCAUAAAUUACCUCGAUCGCUAACUCUUUUACAUGAUUAAGGUUAAGUUAGAUAUUCAUUUUCCUAAAAAUCGUAUCAAUCAUCAAUAUACUUAUAUAAAGGAGAAGCGAGGCGUGUGUAGGUGGCACAUCUCAUAUCGCUCCGUUCUAUUUUUCUAAUUUUCUGCAAUUUUUAGAUGAAAAAUACCAAAAAUUAGAACUACUUUUUUUAGUUUCGGAUUUAUUAGAAGCAAGUUUUAGAAUCUGAUUUUGUUUCAGAUUUUCAGAUUAUUUAUGGAAUAUAGUAGUUUGAAAGUUUUAAUUUGAUUUUAUUUCUAUAUAAUCUGAUUUUGUUUCAGAUUAUUUAUGGAAUAUAGUAGCUUGAAAGUUUUAAUUUGAUUUUGUUUCUAUAUAAAGGAGGAGCGAGGGGUGUGUAGGUGUCGCCUCUCACAUCGCUCCGUUUUAUUUUUCUAAUUUUCUGAAAUUUUCAGAUGAAAAAUAUCAAAAAUUAGAACUGCUUUUUUUAGUUUCGGAUAUAUUAGAAGCAAGUUUCAGAAUCUGAUUUUGUUUCAAAUUAUUUAUGGAAUAUAGCUGCUUGAAAGUUUUAAUCUGAUUUUGUUUCAGAUUAUUUAAUUAUGAGAAAGAGUAGCACACAAGUCUCUCUCUGCACCUAUAAAUACCCCUGUAGGUUGUAGGGCUUUGGAUCAUCUUAACACAACCUUCUCUCUCGGUAUCACAACCCUAACUCUCUCUGGUGAUAGUUCUAUUGCUCGAUUUCUAACUCGGUGUUGCCGUUCUUCUGGUGAAGGCUGUUUAUACAGUAUUAAAAAAAAUAAAGGUUGUUGUAAGCAAAGGUAGUUAUCUACGUGGGAGUCGACAAAUCCAAACACGGGAGAAGAAUAUAGUCUUGACAUGAUAUUGAUGGAUGAUAUCAAUAAAUUAACUAUUAGUGAUGUAUGUUUGUUUGUUAUUCUUUUAUAAAAUUUGUUUUGUUCAUCGGACAUGUUUGUUGUUGUUAAUUUUUUAUAUGAUUUACUUUGCAUACAAGAAAAUAUUAUUCAUGCAUUAUCUGUUUGCUCAGUUCAAACAACUUUUAAGUGAAGACUGUUCAUACAGUAUUAAAAAAUAAAGGUUGUUGCAAGUAAGGGUAGUUAUAGACCGCUAUCGCACGGAUUUAAGUUAGAUGUUUUUGUGCACAAUCAAUCCAAAAAAAUUGGAGGAAGGUGAUAAUGUAAGAACAUGAUUACUUUAAAAAAAAACACAAAUAAAAUUAAGAUUUGUCGUGCUUUAAAUUGUUAAUUACGUGUAGAAAUUUAUUUUCAUAUUUUCAACAUGAAUUAUAGGCCACAAAAUAUAUUAAUAUAUUUUUUAUAUACAGCCACAAAAUUAUUGCAUUCUACAAAUAUUAAUAUUAGAUCGUUAAUAUAAUUUUUAUAGGCCGCCGCAACGCGCGGCUUCUCAACUAGUUAAAAAAGUUGACAAAAACCAACAGGUAAAAGAAGACGAGGCCAAUCUGAAGAAUUUAAAGGCCGAUGCAAAAUGAUCCAACAGGCUUUUCUUCAAAAUAUUAUUAAAAAUAGUAAAACGAAAACUAACUUUUCUUGAAGUUUGAACUUAAAUGCAUCUGACCACGACUAGCAAACAUCAUUUUGCCCCGUUCAAGCACUACAAAAUCAUGAAACUGUCAGAAUAUACAAACUCUAUAUAUUGUUGAAAGAAUACAAUCAAGAAUAUUUUAACGAUUAACUUUGUUCAUUAACUACUCCCUCCGUCUCAAUUUAUAUGACCCUUAUUUUUUUUGGGACGUCUCAAAAAAAAUAAUCCAUCAUAUUUACUAUUUUUGAACACUACUUUUCACUAUUACAUCCACUACUUUCUUCCACUAUUUCAAUUCUAUAAUAAUAUAAACACUAUUAUAUCCACUACCUUCCUCCACUAUCUCAAAUUAUUAUUAAAUAUUGAUAGGUCCCAUCAUUUUACCUACUCUUCAACUAAACUUACUAUUUUUUUUUAAUCUCUGUAAGAGUCAAACCGGCUCACUCAAUAUGGGACGGAUGGAGUAUAAUUGAGACUUUGAUAAACUCACUGUAAUAUUAAAGAAACUAGAUGGUACAAGAUUCUGCGAUGAAACUAGUUGGAAAGAUUUAGGUAUUCUUAGAUUACUUUGAAAGAGUUAACCGCUUUAUUUCAAAUGCAAAGAGUACUUUGUCCAACUUUCUUUCCUUCACAGAUUAACAAUGCAAGGAGAAUUGAUAAUAUCACGAGAACACAAAAUUGAUAACACUAUCUUACACAUAUAUAUUUUUUUUGGAAAAAUUUUUAAAACUGAAUUCCGGGUAUGGAAUAUCCUACUAGACCCAAUAUCAAUGUAUUUUAUAUAUAAUUAAACUUGUAUUUAAAUAUAAAUGUUCACAUUAUCAAGUCCGGUAUAAUCAGAACCACCUAAAAUAGAAUAUAAUAUUAUAAUAAUUGAUAAAAAAAAUUUGUGACAAAUAUACAUAUAAAAAAAGGUUAUUAUUAAUAUUUAGAACAAAACUAAUGUAAAGACUUAAUAUCUGUAAUCAUCUUCCAUAAUUUUUUAAUUCCACGUGUUUGUUAAAAAUAGGCAAUUAAAUUGCAUGUUAUCAUCUUGUUACCCUAAUUUCAUAGUUUAGUCCCCCACUUGUUACUAGCUCCAGUAGCUUCCGUGCACUUAUAUAGGCAAUUUAUUUAUUUAUUUAGAAUGGACCCGGAUAUAUCUUAUAAAUAUAAGUUUAGUUAACCACUUAGAUUGUCCUUUCUCAUGACCCCUUCUCUAAAUACCUCGUUACAUGUUAAGAUCAUUUCUAAAGUAGUAUAGUAUAUAAAUAUUUAACAGAUCGACCAAAUCUGUAUGCACAUGGUGUAAAAAUAUAUUUUAUAAAUUAAUAAAUAUAUAUUACAGUAAAAAUCUCAUUUAAAUAAAAUGCAAAUUACGAAGAUUUAAGCAAAAUUAUAUAGUGGACAUAUAUAAAGCUUGUCGGAAUGGUUUGAGGCACAUGAGUCCAUGACCUUGACCGGCGGUUUUCCUAUAAUUAUUCAACUAACGCAUUUGUUUAUAUAAGAAUAUCUUUUGCAUUUUAAUACAAAUUAAUUAAUAAACAAAAAAAGAUGCUUUAAUAGUAAUUAUAUAUCAUGCGAUUUCGAUGCAUGGUUAAUUAUUAAACUGUCGACUAACUUAGAAUUAUGCAUUUCUGUCAACAGCAGAAUAAUAAAAAAUUGCAAUUAUGAAUUGUUUUGUUCUAAUCGAUAUGCAUGCUUCGAAUAAAUUAUCAGUCGCCCUCAUCUUGGACCUUUGUUUUUGUUUGCAUGUGUCCAAGGGGAAUAAACAUUAUUCUCAGAAUUGAAUACGAGUACAAUACUACACUCACGUUUUCCCAGCUGGGCAGUUGAAACCAGCUUGAACAGAUCCGCAGAAACUAAAUUUUAUUUAGUAAACAGAGGCGGUAAUUCAAACUUCUGCGACUUCCGCCCCUAUUAUAAUCUGCAUCAAAAGCAUAGGUUAAAUUUUUAAAUAGAUUAUUAUAAUUUGUAGAGUUAAUUAUAGUUUGUAACCUCUAAGUUUGCUCCAAACGCAGUUAGUACAUGAACUUUAAAACGUGACAAUAUGCACCGUAAAUUUAACAUUCUCGUCAUCUCGUGCAAGUUGUAACCCCUAGUCACUAUUUUGUCCAACUCUGCCGUUAACUUUAACUGUUUGAGAGAUAGCAGUGUGUAUAUUAGUUUCUAACAGCUACUUUACACCUUGUGACCCCUCAAACUUUAUGUAUUAUAUUUUGAAAUUAUUACUGAACACACACAAUGAUGUAAAAAAAAUUAAAAUAAUUUUUAAAAUAUGUAUUUAUUUUAAAAUUUUAAAAUAAGUUACAUCGUUUAUGUAAAAAAUAAAUAAAUUUUUAGAUUCUAAAUCUAGAUAUAUGUUUUAAAAAUUAUUUUAAAUUUUUUACAUCGUUGUGUGUGUUCAGAAAUAAUUUCAAAAUAUAAUACAUGAUUUUUGAGGGGUCACAGGGGGUAAAGUAGCUAUUAAAAACUAAUAUACACACUGUUAUCUAUCAAACAGUUAAAGUUAACGGCAGAUUUGGACGGAAUAGUGACUAGGGGUUACAACUUGCACCAGAAUGUUAAGUGUAAGAUGCAUAUUGGCACGUUCUAAAGUUCAGGUACUAAACUGCGUUUGGAGCAAACCUAAGGGUUACAAACUGUAAUUAACUUUAAUUUGUAACUCUUAAGUUUGGUUCAUUGACAAAUGAGUACCAAUAUUUUAAAACGUAAUUUUUGACAAUCCAAAAUUCAUAUUGUGUUGCAGUUUGUAACUCUUCCGUUAAUUUUUUUUAUUAAAGUUAGAUAGAGAUGUUAGUUCAAAGACGUUUUCGUACUUAGAUAAUGUAGUUUUUUAUUUUUAUCAAAAAAAUUAUCUAAAUAUGAUUAUAAAUAUUAAAUGAGAAAUUUAUUUAUGGUUUAACACUAGUAUACGUAAUUUAUAGUUUACAUUUGUUUUUUGAAAUUUAUUGAUAUGUACAAAAAUUAUUUAUUUUAUCAAGCACACAUUUAUCUUUUAUAUAAGCUUGUCGUCGUAGAAACAAGAAAGAAGUAAUUAAAUUAUUUUUAUUUAUAAAUAUCUUUACCAAUUUUGUAUAUGCCAAAUUCUGGCCAACACCAGGGUCGGGAGAAUUUUAUUUGACGGAAAAGGUCCGCUAUAUUCGGUUGGGUCGAUUAAAUACUAACACAUCAUCAAUAAGUAAGGCGGUUUGUUUGGUUUGGAAGAAUUCACAUCACCAAAUUUUAUAACUGCAGUCAUAGUACAACGCGAGUAAAUUAAAAACAUGAUCGAAACCAAGUAAAAGCAUUACAAACUCCCGGGAAGUAAAAUUUUAACCGCUAUUUUGUUUAGUCAAAUAGCUCACACAGUGCCUGACGCUCAAAACUUAUUGUUAUACCAGUAUACUCCUUUGUUCUUCUCAUCUUCCUCGACGUAGACGCAAUCAUUAAGAGUAGUCCACAGUGACUUAUAGAAUGGGGUAAAAUCAUACUGAUAGUAGUCCCCCAAUAUUGGCUUAAAUGCUUUGGUGGCUUCCACUGCAUGGUAAUGUGGCAUUUUGGGGAAGAGAUGGUGCGCUACGUGAGUAUUCGGUUGCUGAUGAAACACCGUGUUGAGAAUUCCGAAAUCUCUGUCAAUGGUGGCCAUGGAUCCCUUUAGCCAUUCCCACUCGGAGUGAUCAUAGUAAGGUACCAGAGGGUUCGUGUGUUGAAGUACGGCCACUAUGAUAAGCAUGGCGUUUGUGAAAAGGUAUGGUCCUCCGUAGAUGAAAGCGGCCGAUGCGAACCCUUUUAACAUAGCAAGUUUGUAAACUGCAUAGAUCACGGCAAAACAUCCAGCAUCGGAAAGCAAGACUUGCGCGCGUUGUUUUCGUGAAAACAUUGGACUGUAUGGAUCAAAAUGUGAGGCAAAUCGAUCGUAAGUGCGACCACGGAAGUUGACAAGCAAGUAUAGAGGCACCGCAACAACUAAAACCAAGGCAAUAACCAAUACUCUUGCUACUGGAUUUUUGAGGUAUUUAAAGAUGAAUGAAACUUGAGACUUAAGCAGCGGGACAUCAAAUUCCUCUUCUUCUAGGGAUCCGGUUCUCGAGUGGUGGCGAUGGUGGCUGUACUUGAAUGAAAAGUAAGGAAACAGGACGACAGAGUGGGUGAUGAAUCCCACUGUGUCGUCGAGCCAUUGGUACUCACUGAAAGCGUUGUGUCCGCAUUCAUGACCUAUGACCCAAAAUCGGGCUAGAAUCAGACCUUGAAGCACCGAAUAUAUAAUCCCGGCUGUAACAAGAUAUAAUUUAGAAGACUGAACCAAUUCAGAGGUUAAGAUAUAGUUUGCGGCGAUGUGGUAAAGAGAGAAUAAGAUGAUGACAUCGAAGACAAGGUAUGACAAAGAGCGAAUAGCCGAACGCUCAAAGCAAUGAGGCGGAACUGCUUUCUUAACAUCGCUUAGAGUGAAGGGAGGUUUGACGUGAGGAGAUCUUGAUGCUCUUUUCACGGGAGAAUUCGAUUUUUGUUCCAUAUUUAUCUGCAAAAAUUGAAUUAGCUGUAAUUAAGUAAUCACAUUCCGAUAAUCAGAUAAAUAAACAUUUUGAAAGCAUAAAUAAUUAGCUAUCACUAAGAAAUGUACCUUGCUGCAGUGUCUUGACUCGGAAUUGUUGUGGUUAAUAUAUUUGAAAUCGGCUUGUAUAUAUAGGCACAUUAAAAUUACCUACCACUUUCCUGAUAGGCUGCAUAUAUUAUGGCUAAGGUCUAAGGAUGUCAAUGUUACAUGCAUCUUCUGGACGCCGCCAUUAAAAAGCAAAGCUGCAUACAAGAACAUCUGAUACAAAUAAGUACCGUAACCUUUUUUAUAUUUCUUGAAUGUCAUGCAAGUUGAAUAUUGUUUUGUUAACCUAGUUUCAUAAUUUGAUCAGCCUGUUUUUCAUAAUAUUUUAGUUCCCCACUUGGUUCACUAGCUCGCAUUGUGACGGUGAGUAGUAUUAUCUGUAAUUGCAAUCUCUUAGAAACCAAAGUAUACAUCAUACCACUGACUUUGUCCUUUUUAAUAAUCUCUUCCCAUUAUUUCCCAAUGAACAGUAAGAUAUAAUAUAUAUUCCUAUAUAAAAGUUAAAAUAAUGUGUAUUUUUUGAUUUUAAGGAUUGAAUCUUUAUGUUUUUCACAAAUUGUUAUUUAUAUUUUUCAUGCUAAAAACUAGUUUAUAGUUUAUUAUGUCAAGUGACAAUUACACAGUAUAUAUCAUAUAGAGAAUUCGGAAUAUAAUGUGUGUGUAUAUGUAUAUAUUUAUUUAUUGAUGAAACAUAAAGCUGGGUGUAGGACUAGGCAGCUUAAGCGCCUCCGAUCCAAAAAUUAUAAAUUUUUUAUAAUAAAUAUAAAAAUUAUACGCGUCAGAAAGAAUUAGUUAAUGUUUACAGAUGGGUUUUAACACGUAUAAUCUUAUAUUUGAUAUUAAAAAUUAUCAAUAUUUGAAAAAUAUUUUAUCUAAAUUUUUUUUUAUCAAACUUUUUAUCCGCCCUUGCUGGAUGCCGUGGUAUCAAUUGUCAAAUGUCAAAGGCACCUUACGGUCCUUACCUGUUCCUAUAGCUACAUUCUUUUGUCUAGGCAUACUUUGAUCAGUAUUUUAAUGCAAAAAACCAGAGAAUAAUAAUUCACACAUCACUGAAUGCUUUAAUAAUAGUCAUCAUCCAUCCGAUAUUGAUGGCUAAUUAAACUGUCGUCUAACUCGCAAGUGUGCAUUUCUGUUGACAACAGAAGAAAAUGACAAUCAUAAGUGGUUUUGUUGAAAUCUAUAUGCGUUAGAUAGUAGAAGAAAAUGACAAUCAUGAAUGACUUUGUUGAAUAUCUAUAUAUUUUUAGAAAAAUUAGCUUGCCAUCGUAUUAGACUUCUGUUUUGAUUUAUAGCUAUAAAGAAAAGAAUUUAAGCAUUGAAUAUGUGUAGAGUAACUUGCACGCUUUUCUGGCUCAAAAAGGUGUUAACAAGAGCUUCAUCAAAUUUUUUCAAAAAAAAAGAGAGCUUCAUCAAAUUUAAAAUAUUAAUAUUAGUAUGGGAAUUCAGAAAAAGUUAUUUAUCAUUUAAAAUAAUGAAAUAAAUUAUAAAUAAUAUGAUGGUCAUGAUUUAGAAGUUAUUAAAAAAUAACCUAUAAGUUAUUUAAGUAUUUAAAUAAUUUUUGUUAAUUUAAACGCUAGAUCGAAACAUAAAAAAACUAGUUUUUUCUGUUUUCUAAUUCUUCCCACAUAAUUUUUGUAAGUGUUUUUAUUUUUUAUUUUAUACAAAUGCGUCAAGAAAAACGAAAAUGAACUCAAAUAAAAGAAAAAUGAAUCUACUUUUUUGCGCAAACAAAUUAUAAAAAACCGACUUCUCUUGGGGAAAAAAAAAGCACGCCGGAUGCCCAAACAUGCCCGUACUGAUGCGUCAAUAAAUUAAACAAGGUGAUAUGAGGCCAGAAUUAAGAUGACAUGGAAGUACAGUGUCAACUAAAAAUAUUUAUUAUUCAAAUCUAUCAGGUUUCUUCUGAUAAUCUGAUUAUUUAUAAACAUUUAUAUAUAUUAUAUAUUUUAUUUCAAAAAUAAACUCUCGUAUUGAUUUCAAAGAUUUACUUAAAUUGAUACUGCAUAUUUUACUUAAAUAAUAUAAAGCUUAAUGAUCUUUUGGCCCUCGAAGUAUGGGUGGAAGUUCCGAUGCGGUCUCGAAGUUUAAAAACGUACCUUUCGACCCUCAAAGUAUCUUUGUCGUACCUUUUAGCCCCUUUUAAAGAUACCGGUAUAAAUCGGAGGAUAAACUUGACAAUUUAUAUUCGGGGUAAAGUUUGGGCGUACCUUUUAACCCUUAAAGUAUACAUCUCAUUCCUUUUAACCCCUAAAGAAUAUAUAAAAUACAUUAGAUGUUCCUUUUAACCCUUAAUGUUUAAUGCCCCUUUUAACCCUCACGUGUGAAAUGUCAACUUUGUCCACCCCGUUAUAUACUGGUAUACGCCGUAAAGGCUAAAAGGUACGACAAAUAUACUUUGAGGAUCGAAAGAUACGUUUUUAAAUUUCGUGGCCGCAUCGAAAUUUUCAUCCAAACUUCAAGUGUUAAAAGGUUAUUAAGCCAUAAUAUAAUGACACUAGUUCAAUCCUUUACGUAUAGAUUAAAAGUGACUACAAUAUCCCGGCAAAAAAAAUGUGACUGCAGUAUAAGUUAAUACAUAAAGUUCAAAACCCAAAUAAUAAAUCUAUGUACAUCAUUAACGAGAAAGAGUAAUAUUAGAACCGCGAUCCUGACCCAGAGGCAAGCAAUACGUACUUAAUAUUAUACGAAACAUUGUAACAUAGAGUGCGCAUGAAAUGGCUUUCAUGCCUGAGAUCCCACUUCAUAUAUUGUGCGAUGCUUAGGGUAGUCAUAUGGACGCAAUGUUCAUGUAAAUUUCUCGGAUAUAGCCCAAAUAGAGGGUCUUUCAUUAGUAUAUUCAGACUCGGCCCAAUAUUUGAGCCUAAUAUAUAUUUGAGCCCACGACAAACAAAGCCCAUUCACAAAAGGCCCGGGACCAUUAACAAAAAGAUAAGCAGCUUCUGACAAUGCCUAAUUAGCUAGCUCCGUUUCUGUGUAUUUGAUCAAAGAACAGUGUUUAUAACAAUCAUCAUGAUACAAUACAGGUAACUAAAAUUUUUCCAAAGAAAUAAAUAUAAUUAUCACCAUACAAGCUCCCUCACUAAUUUUUAAUUAUUAUUUUGUUUGUCAAAGGUGCCGAACUCUCAAUGCUCAAAACUUGUUGUUGUACCAAUAUAUCCCUUUGUUGUCUUCAUCUUCCUCAACGUAGACACAGUCAUUUAUGGUGUUCCAAAUUGACUUAUAGAAUGGAGUGAAAUCAUACUGAUAGUACUCCCCAAGCACAGGUUUAAAUGCCUUGGUGGCUUCCACCGCAUGGUAAUGUGGCAUCUUCGGGAAGAGAUGGUGCGCUACGUGAGUAUUCGGCUGCUGAUGAAACACCGUGUUGAGAAAUCCGAAAUCUCUAUCGAUGGUAGCCAUGGAUCCCUUCAGCCAUUCCCACUCGGAGUGAUCAUAGUAAGGUACGAGAGGGUUCGUGUGUUGAAGUACGGCCACUAUGAUAAGCAUGGCAUUUGUGAAUAGGUAUGGUCCUCCGUAAAUGAAAGCCACCCAUGCGAAUCCUUUUAGCAAAGCGAGUUUGUAUAGUGUAAAGAUCACGGCCAAACAUCCAGCAUCCGAAAGCAAGACGAGAGCGCGUUGCUUGCGUGAGAACAUUGGGCUAUACGGAUCAAAAUGGGAGGCGAAUCGAUCGUAAACUCGACCGCGGAAGUUGACAAGAAGGUACAGAGGCACCGCAACAGCUAGAACUGCAGCAACAACGAAGAAUCGCGCUACAGGAUUUUUGAGGUGUCUGAAGAGCAAUGGAACUUGGGACUUGAGCAGCGGGAUGUCAAAUUCUUCUUCUUCGAGGGAUCCGGUUCUCGAGUGGUGUCGAUGGUGGCUGUACUUGAAUGAAAAGUAAGGGAACAGAACGACAGAGUGGGUGACGAAUCCCACUGUGUCGUCGAGCCAUUUGUAGUCACUAAAAGCGUUGUGUCCGCAUUCGUGACCUAUGACCCAAAAUCGGGCCAGGAUACAGCCUUGUAGCACCGAAUAAAUAAUCCCGGACAUAAAAAGGUACAAUUUCGAUGAUUGUACUAAUUCGGAGGUUAAGAUAUAGUUUGCGGCGAUGUGGUAAAGAGAGAAUAAGAUGAUGACAUCGAAGACAAGGUAUGACAAAGAGCGAAUGGCCGAACGCUCAAAGCAAUGAGGCGGAACUGCUUUCUUAACAUCGCUUAAAGUGAAUGGAGGUUUUACGUGGGGAGAUCUUGAGGCUCUUUUCACAGUAGAACUCAUCUCUUGUUCAGUCUUCAAUAGAAUGCGCUUCUUAAAGGAUGUGGAUUAUUGUUGUGAUAAUUGGAGAGGCGAUGUGGCUGCUAUAUAUAGGCAUGUUAAGGCACCAACUCCUCUAUCUAAUUAGCUGAAUGUGGAGAAAGUAAUUUCCGAGAAAGCAAGAUAAAUUUAAAUAUGUUUAAGCCGUCAUUAAUCUAACAUUUACUGGUAGUUUAUGUCUAUUGCUGUGGACUAAGAGAUAUGCUGCAUUUAGGCUCCGCUGUUAUUCAAAUAUGAUUGCUCUAAUAUAUGGGACCUACUCUUUGGUUUGUAGUUGAAUAAGAGGAAUGAGAUAGACUAAUAGUAGUGCAGUUACUGGAACGUUGGCCUAAUUCUCUAACCUCAUGCAAUUGUGAGCUUCGACUAAUAAAACGAGGGAAAACUAUUACUCUCAGGACUUUAAGUGCUUUAAUCCGGCGGCAGUUAAAAAUUUUAUUUUUUAAUUAUUUUUAAUAAACAAUUGUAAGUAAAUUUUUUAAUUCGUAUAGUGUUUGUAUUAUAUAAACUUUUUGUUUUUAAAAUUUUUGAAAUAUAAAUAAUUUAAAUAGACAUUCAAAAACGAAAGUGUGUAAAAAAGAUGAUGGAACGUAGCGAGUAUUACAAUGGUGCAGUUACUUGAACGUUGGCCUAAUUAUAGCUCAGGCAAUUGUGAACUUCGACCAAUAAUUGUAUACAGAAUUAUAUACAUAAUGACAUGUGGGAGGUUUUAAUUGAAAUGGGCCUCCUGUAUUCACAUCAACCACCCCAGUUAAAACCCUCCCCCUCAAUUGCCACAUCAUUAUGUACAAGUUUUAUGUACACAAUUAUGUGCACCUAGCACUACUCUAAUAGUAUACAGACGAGAGAACUGUUACAUGAACAUGGACCUUAAACAAAUUUACCUCUUGAUAUUUAGUAUAUAUUUAUUUAAAUUAUAAAUGAAAUUUAGAUUUCACUUAAUUAACAAAAGUAUAAACUAUAUUUAAUAAAUCAAAUUCAAAUCCGGCCUAAAUUAUUGUAUUUCAUUUUCAAUGCAUUUCAUCUCAAUCAUUAUUUUCACAUUUUGUUUGAUCAUCAUCUCAUAAUUUGGUUAUCAUUAUCAUCUGGGGUGUGGUUGUGAUUUAUCAUUAUCUUCUUUAGAAUUUCAAAAUUGUCUAUAUGCAACGUCUAUUAUUGUUAAUGCCCUAUUAACUUAUAUUUUAUUCUUAUAUAUAUAUAUAUAUAUAUAUAUAUAUAUAUAAACUUUUUUUUUGUAAAUAUUAAAUAUUAAAAAUCUCAUAAAUAUUUAAUUUUAAAUAUACCAUAUUCAUAAAAAAGAUUUCAAAAUAAAUCUUUACUUCUAUAUCUUGAACUUUUGGCAUGCGCCCACUAUGUUAUCAAUCAGUUUUUCAAGGUUGACUCUUAGAUAAAUUACUCUGUAUUUUGUAAUAUACAUAAAUUACUUUAAUAUAGUGAUGUGAGACUAAUUUAUUCAAAAAUUUGAAGCAUGAAUAUUAAGAGUAUACUUAAUGUUGAUCUGCACCUGACCUUUAUAAUUUAUAUAUAUAUUUUUUAAACUCGUUCUUACAUUUAUAAAUAUAAAUAUUAUCGAAACAUAUAUCAAUCACUACAUCUAUUUACUUUCGAAAAACUUGCAUGCAUAUUCUAAAAAGCAUACACCCCAGUUGCAGCUGUUUAAAAUAAAUUAUGGGAUAAAAUUAUUCCAAAAACCAGUCCACGCUCCACGGAGUUCAUCAUCCACAAGCAUCCCAAUUCAUUUUAAUCAUACUUGUAUAUAUAAACUCAGAGUAUAGUUCUACUGUAUUUAAGUGUAUAUAUCUAAAAUAUCAAGUAUACCAAAGAUUAGCACAGAAGUAGAUGUAGAAUGCAAUUGAACUUUAACACAUCUCCAAAUUCUUUGAUUAUUGCAAUAAUUUAUUAUACUAAUAUACAAAUUAAAGCUAGCUACUUUAGUGUCUAAAAAUAGCAUCAAUGAAUAUAACUGUAAAACAAAUCACAAUACAGUGCAAGUAAAAGCUUCAAAAAAGAAGCAGCUAUUUAUGGGACAAGCUUCCAGGCCGACUUUACUCUCUGGUUUUUAUUUUUUGCUAGUCAAGAAGCUCAAACACCAUACACUUGAUAAUUCAACUUAAAACUUGUUGUUAUACCAGUAUAUUCCUUUGUUCUGCGUAUCUUCCUCAACGUAGACACAAUCGUUUAUGGUAUUCCACAGUGACUUGUAGAAUGGGGUGAAAUCAUACUGAUAGUACUCGCCCAAUAUUGGCUUAAAUGCUUUGGUGGCUUCCACUGCAUGGUAAUGCGGCAUCUUCGGGAAGAGAUGGUGAGCUACGUGAGUAUUCGGCUGCUGAUGAAACACCGUGUUGAGGAAUCCGAAAUCUCUGUCAAUGGUAGCCAUAGAGCCCUUUAGCCAUUCCCACUCGGAGUGAUCAUAGUAAGGUACGAGAGGGUUCGUGUGUUGAAGUACGGCCACUAUAAUAAGCAUGGCAUUUGUGAAUAGGUAUGGUCCUCCGUAGAUGAAAGCGACCCAUGCGAAUCCUUUUAGCAAAGCAAGUUUGUAUAGUGCAAAGAUCACGGCCAAACAUCCAGCAUCAGAGAGCAGGACUAGAGCGCGUUGCUUACGCGAAAACAUUGGGCUAUACGGAUCAAAAUGGGAGGCGAAUCGAUCAUAAACUCGACCACGGAAGUUGACAAGAAGGUAUAGAGGCACUGCAACAGCUAGAACAGCACCAACAACCAAGACUCUCGCUACUGGAUUUUUGAGGUGUCGGAAAAGAAAGGGAACUUGGGACUUGAGCAGUGGGAUAUCAAAUUCUUCUUCCUCGAGCGAUCCAGUUCUCGAGUGGUGCCGAUGGUGGCUGUACUUAAACG